RNAcentral lists this non-coding RNA (26 nucleotides) under Cricetulus griseus (Chinese hamster). The record is from RNAcentral. Lineage: Eukaryota; Metazoa; Chordata; Mammalia; Rodentia; Cricetidae.
GCUGCCCUGAGACUGUGCUCUUGACC